AGCUUUGCGCAAUGGCAGUAUCAUAGCCAACGAGGUCUACCCGAGCACAAUUAUUGCUAAUUGAAAACUUUUCCCAAUACUCCGCUGUGACAACUUGCAGAAUUUAGUUGGCAUUGGCAAUUUUUGACAGUCUCUAUGGAGA
Molecule: small nuclear RNA, 142 nt
Organism: Cebus imitator (Panamanian white-faced capuchin)
Lineage: Eukaryota; Metazoa; Chordata; Mammalia; Primates; Cebidae
Gene: U4
Rfam family: U4 spliceosomal RNA
About the family: U4 small nuclear RNA (U4 snRNA) is a component of the major U2-dependent spliceosome.
Source: Ensembl